UAAGGUUCGAUUCGAGCGUCAGCGAGAAAGCGUUGCCGCAGGCAACGACCCGAAGGGCGAAGCGCGCAGCGCUGAGUCAUCCUUCCCCCACCACCA
RNAcentral lists this small RNA (96 nucleotides) under Salmonella enterica subsp. enterica serovar Heidelberg. RNAcentral describes it as "partial RtT sRNA". It matches the Rfam family "RtT RNA", at positions 37 to 130 of the family's 130-position model. From Rfam's summary of the family: This family represents a bacterial cis-regulatory element known as RtT RNA. The exact function of RtT is unknown although it is thought that it may be involved in changing the cellular response in relation to amino acid starvation. The record is from RNAcentral. RNAcentral also lists the same sequence under 5 other names. Lineage: Bacteria; Pseudomonadati; Pseudomonadota; Gammaproteobacteria; Enterobacterales; Enterobacteriaceae.